CUGGUGUCAGCCGCCGCGGUAAUACCAGCACCUCGAGUGGUCAGGACGUUUAUUGGGCCUAAAGCGUCCGUAGCCGGCUCUGCAAGUCUUCGGUUAAAUCCACCUGCUCAACAGAUGGGCUGCUGGAGAUACUACAGAGCUAGGGAGUGGGAGAGGCAGACGGUAUUCAGUGGGUAGGGGUAAAAUCCUCUGAUCCAUUGAGGACCACCAGUGGCGAAGGCGGUCUGCCAGAACACGUUCGACGGUGAGGGAUGAAAGCUGGGGGAGCAAACCGGAUUAGAUACCCGGGUAGUCCCAGCUGUAAACGAUGCAAACUCGGUGAUGCAUUGGCUUGUGGCCAAUGCAGUGCCGCAGGGAAGCCGUUAAGUUUGCCGCCUGGGAAGUACGGACGCAAGUCUGAAACUUAAAG
RNAcentral lists this ribosomal RNA (409 nucleotides) under uncultured Nitrososphaerota archaeon. RNAcentral describes it as "bacterial SSU rRNA". It matches the Rfam family "Archaeal small subunit ribosomal RNA", at positions 452 to 861 of the family's 1478-position model. The record is from RNAcentral. Lineage: Archaea; Thermoproteati; Nitrososphaerota.